GUGCCUAAUACAUGCAAGUCGAGCGGGCUUUGCCCCCGGGUAAAGCUAGCGGCGGACGGGUGAGUAACACGUAGGCAACCUGCCUGUAAGACUGGGAUAACUACCGGAAACGGCGAUUAAGACCGGAUAAGUGGUCUUCUCGCAUGAGGAGAUCAAGAAUCACGGGGCAACCUGUGGCUUACAGAUGGGCCUGCGGCGCAUUAACUAGUUGGUGGGGUAACGGCUCACCAAGGCGACGAUGCGUAGCCGACCUGAGAGGGUGAUCGGCCACACUGGGACUGAGACACGGCCCAGACUCCUACGGGAGGCAGCAGUAGGGAAUCUUCCGCAAUGGACGCAAGUCUGACGGAGCAACGCCGCGUGAGUGAUGAAGGGUUUCGGAUCGUAAAGCUCUGUUGCCAGGGAAAAGCGUCGCGGAGAGUAACUGCUCUGUGAAUGACGGUACAGUC
This 449-nucleotide ribosomal RNA is filed under the name Paenibacillus tianmuensis. RNAcentral's name for it is "bacterial SSU rRNA". It matches the Rfam family "Bacterial small subunit ribosomal RNA", at positions 44 to 483 of the family's 1533-position model. Lineage: Bacteria; Bacillati; Bacillota; Bacilli; Caryophanales; Paenibacillaceae. The record is from RNAcentral.